GAACACCAAAAGCGAAGGCAGCCUUCUAGGCAGAUACUGACACUCAGGAGCGAAGGUGUGGGUAGCGAACAGGAUUAGAUACCCUGGUAGUCCACACAGUCAACGAUGAUCACUAAGUUUUGGUGAGAUUAUAAAUUAUCAGAGCUGCCGCAAAUGCAUUAAGUGAUCCGCCUGGGGAGUACGUCCGCAAGGAUGAAACUCAAAGGAAUUGACGGGGACCCGCACAAGCGGUGGAGUAUGUUCUUUAAUUCGAUGCAACGCGAAGAACCUUACCUGGGCUUGACAUCACCGAAAUCACCUUUAUACGGUGAGUGCCUCGAUUUAUCGAGGAAUCGUGUGACAGGUGCUGCAUGGCUGUCGUCAGUUCGUGUCGUGAGAUGUUGGGUUAAGUCCCGCAACGAACGCAACCCCUGUCUUUAGUUGCCAGCAUUAAGUUGGGGACUCUAGAGAGACUGCCAAGGUGACAACUUGGAGGAAGGUGGGGACAACGUCAAGUCAUCAUGGUCCUUACGUC
Molecule: ribosomal RNA, 514 nt
Filed under: uncultured candidate division MSBL2 bacterium
Lineage: Bacteria
Description: bacterial SSU rRNA
Rfam family: Bacterial small subunit ribosomal RNA
Source: RNAcentral